This 465-nucleotide ribosomal RNA is filed under the name Vreelandella stevensii. RNAcentral's name for it is "partial 16S ribosomal RNA". It matches the Rfam family "Bacterial small subunit ribosomal RNA", at positions 338 to 794 of the family's 1533-position model. Lineage: Bacteria; Pseudomonadati; Pseudomonadota; Gammaproteobacteria; Oceanospirillales; Halomonadaceae. The record is from RNAcentral.
CCUACGGGAGGCUGCAGUGGGGAAUAUUGGACAAUGGGCGAAAGCCUGAUCCAGCCAUGCCGCGUGUGUGAAGAAGGCCUUCGGGUUGUAAAGCACUUUCAGUGGGGAAGAAAGCCUUGGGGCUAAUACCCUCGAGGAAGGACAUCACCCACAGAAGAAGCACCGGCUAACUCCGUGCCAGCAGCCGCGGUAAUACGGAGGGUGCGAGCGUUAAUCGGAAUUACUGGGCGUAAAGCGCGCGUAGGCGGUCUGAUAAGCCGGUUGUGAAAGCCCCGGGCUCAACCUGGGAACGGCAUCCGGAAGCGUCAGGACGGAGUGCAGGAGAGGAGAGGAGAAUUCCCGGUGGUGCGGUGAAAUGCGUCGAGUACGGGGGGAAUAACAGGUGCGAAGGCGGCCUUCCGGACUGACAAUGGCGCUGAGGUGCCAAAGCGUGGGUAGGCGACAGGACUUGGUUACCGCGGUAUC